GGUAAGUCCAAGUUGGUUUUUAACUUAUCAAUCAGAAAGGUUUUUAUCUUUUUCCUCUGUGGAUGCCAUGUUACUGAAUUUGUGCAUACUUCUUUUCAAGUUUAACAAAGUAUCCUACAUUUCAUAUUAUUUUCUUCUGUUAUGUCUUCACAUGAUUACCUGUCAAACUGCAUUAGUUGCUGAAAGUUUGAAUUAAAUAAUAUUGUAGUUUUCCUGUGAUUGGCACACAUAUUCUCCAUGCAUGCUAGCGUACAUAUCUACUCCAGAUAUUUCAGGGCAUGUGCUGUGGAUUAGUAGUAGCCAUUAUUUCUGAAUUGUACCUAGUUAUGCUUUUCAUAUUUGUUAGGAUCUCACAAAACUAUCAGUGGCAUAACUAAUUAAAUUGGGGAAUCAAGUAGAAAUUUAUUUUUGUGUUCUCUUUUCAUUCUCUGUUUAUGUGUUGCAAUCAUUGCUAAAAACUAUCAGUGGCAUAAUUAAUUAAAUUGGGGAAUUAAGUUGAAAUUUAUUUUCGUGUUUUCUUUUCAUUCUCUGUUUAUAUGUUGCAAUCAUUGCUAAAUUUAUUAUAAAGGCUAGUCUUGUGGUCAGUAAAAUUGAAAAUGAUGUAAAAAAAAAAUAAAAGAAAAAAA
RNAcentral lists this unclassified non-coding RNA (626 nucleotides) under Hevea brasiliensis (rubber tree). The record is from RNAcentral. Lineage: Eukaryota; Viridiplantae; Streptophyta; Magnoliopsida; Malpighiales; Euphorbiaceae.